GCUAUUCAAGUUUCUGCCCUAUCAGCUUUCGAUGGUAGUGUAUUGGACUACCAUGGCAGUAACGGGUAACGAAGAAUUAGGGUUCGAUUUCGGAGAGGGAGCAUGAGAAACGGCUACCACAUCUAAGGAAGGCAGCAGGCGCGUAAAUUACCCAAUCCUGACUCAGGGAGGUAGUGACAAGAAAUAGCAAACCGGGAACCUCAUGGUUUCACGGUAUUGCAAUGAGAACAAUUUAAAACCCUUAGCGAGAAUCAAGUGGAGGACAAGUCUGGUGCCAGCACCCGCGGUAAUUCCAGCUCCACUAGCGUAUAUUAAAGUUGUUGCAGUUAAAAAGCUCGUAGUUGAACCUCUGUCUGGGGCUAGUUUUGGCUUUGGUCAGGCUAGUUCUAGGCAUCCGCCUACAAGACUUAGAGGGCAUUCAGUUGUUCACUAGGAGGAGUAGGCAUUUUACUUUGAAAAAAUUAGAGUGCUUAAGGCAGGCAAUCGCCCGCAUAUAUUAGCAUGGAAUAAUAGAAUAGGACACUUUUCCAUUUCGUUGGUUAUUGGAAUCGUGUAAUGAUUAAUAGGGACAGUUGUGGGCAUUUGUAUUUAAUUGUCAGAGGUGAAAUUCUUGGAUUUAUUAAAGACAAACUAACGCGAAAGCAUUUGCCAAGGAUGUUUUCAUUAAUCAAGAACGAAAGUUAGGGGAUCAAAGACGAUCAGAUACCGUCCUAGUCUUAACUAUAAACUAUUCCGACUCAAUGUUUGACUGGCUUAUAUAACCAGUUGAGCGUUGUAUGAGAAAUCAAAGUCUUUAGGUUCUGGGGGGAGUAUGGUUGCAAAGCUGAAACUUAAAGGAAUUGACGGAAGAGCACAACCAGGAGUGGAUUCUGCGGCUUAAUUUGACUCAACACGGGGAAACUUACCAGGUUAAAACAAUAGUGGGAUUGACAGUUUGAGAGCGCUUUCUUGAUUGGUUGGGUGGUGGUGCAUGGCCGUUCUUAGUUGGUGGAGUGAUUUGUCUGCUUAAUUGCGUUAACGAACGAGACCUUAACCUGCUUACUAGACUGGCGAUCAUCAAUCGUUAGCUCUUCUUAGAGGGACUUUGGUUGUUUUAACUCCAAGGAAGUUUGAGGCAAUAACAGGUCUGUGAUGCCCUUAGAUAUCCUGGGCCGCACGCGUCAUACAAUGACUAGUUCAGAAAGUUUUCUCCUGACCCGAAAGGGGAUGGGUAAUCUUGAUAAUACUAGUCGUGUUAGGGAUCGAUCUUUGCAAUUAUAGAUCUUGAACGAGGAAUUCCUAGUAAGUGCGGUUCAUCAGACCGUACUGAUUACGUCCCUGCUCUUUGUACACACCGCCCGUCGCUUCUACCGAGUGGGUGGUCCGGUGAG
This 1370-nucleotide ribosomal RNA is filed under the name metagenome. Its description in RNAcentral is "SSU rRNA". It matches the Rfam family "Eukaryotic small subunit ribosomal RNA", at positions 294 to 1705 of the family's 1831-position model. The record is from RNAcentral.